Molecule: ribosomal RNA, 225 nt
Filed under: uncultured bacterium
Lineage: Bacteria
Description: partial 16S ribosomal RNA
Rfam family: Bacterial small subunit ribosomal RNA
Source: RNAcentral
CGGGUGAGUAAUGUAUGGGGAUCUGCCUGAUGGCGGGGGAUAACUACUGGAAACGGUAGCUAAUACCGCAUAAUGUCUGCGGACAAGCGGGGACCUCCGGGCCUCGCGCCAUCAGAUGAACCCAUAUGGGAUUAGCUUGUAGGUAAGGUAACGGCUUACCUAGGCGACGAUCCCUAGCUGGUCUGAGAGGAUGAUCAGCCACACUGGGACUGAGACACGGCCCAG